AUUGAACGCUGGCGGCAUGCUUUACACAUGCAAGUCGAACGGCAGCGCGGGGGCAACCCGUGGCGGCGAGUGGCGAACGGGUGAGUAAUGUAUCGGAACGUAUCCUGUAAUGGGGGAUAACCAGUCGAAAGAUUGGGUAAUACCGCAUACGCACGAGAGUGGAAAGUAGGGGAUCGCAAGACCUUACGUUAUAGGAGCGGCCGAUAUCUGAUUAGCUAGUUGGUGGGGUAAAGGCCUACCAAGGCGACGAUCAGUAGCUGGUCUGAGAGGACGACCAGCCACACUGGGACUGAGACACGGCCCAGACUCCUACGGGAGGCAGCAGUGGGGAAUUUUGGACAAUGGGCGAAAGCCUGAUCCAGCCAUGCCGCGUGCAGGAAGAAGGCCUUCGGGUUGUAAACUGCUUUAGUCUAGGAAAAAGGGGUGCGAGGUUAAUACCCUCGUGCUUUGAUGGUACUGGAAGAAUAAGCACCGGCUAACUACGUG
RNAcentral lists this ribosomal RNA (486 nucleotides) under uncultured bacterium. RNAcentral describes it as "bacterial SSU rRNA". It matches the Rfam family "Bacterial small subunit ribosomal RNA", at positions 30 to 507 of the family's 1533-position model. The record is from RNAcentral.